GGAUUAGUGGCGAACGGGUGAGUAACACGUGAGUAACCUGCCCUUGACUCUGGGAUAAGCCUGGGAAACUGGGUCUAAUACCGGAUAUGACCUUCCAUCGCAUGGUGGUUGGUGGAAAGCUUUUGUGGUUUUGGAUGGACUCGCGGCCUAUCAGCUUGUUGGUGGGGUAAUGGCCUACCAAGGCGACGACGGGUAGCCGGCCUGAGAGGGUGACCGGCCACACUGGGACUGAGACACGGCCCAGACUCCUACGGGAGGCAGCAGUGGGGAAUAUUGCACAAUGGGCGCAAGCCUGAUGCAGCGACGCCGCGUGAGGGAUGACGGCCUUCGGGUUGUAAACCUCUUUCAGUAGGGAAGAAGCGUAAGUGACGGUACCUGCAGAAGAAGCGCCGGCUAACUACGUGCCAGCAGCCGCGGUAAUACGUAGGGCGCAAGCGUUAUCCGGAAUUAUUGGGCGUAAAGAGCUCGUAGGCGGUUUGUCGCGUCUGCCGUGAAAGUCCGGGGCUCAACUCCGGAUCUGCGGUGGGUACGGGCAGACUAGAGUGAUGUAGGGGAGACUGGAAUUCCUGGUGUAGCGGUGAAAUGCGCAGAUAUCAGGAGGAACACCGAUGGCGAAGGCAGGUCUCUGGGCAUUAACUGACGCUGAGGAGCGAAAGCAUGGGGAGCGAACAGGAUUAGAUACCCUGGUAGUCCAUGCCGUAAACGUUGGGCACUAGGUGUGGGGGACAUUCCACGUUUUCCGCGCCGUAGCUAACGCAUUAAGUGCCCCGCCUGGGGAGUACGGCCGCAAGGCUAAAACUCAAAGGAAUUGACGGGGGCCCGCACAAGCGGCGGAGCAUGCGGAUUAAUUCGAUGCAACGCGAAGAACCUUACCAAGGCUUGACAUGAACCGGAAAGAUCUGGAAACAGGUCCCCCACUUGUGGUCGGUUUACAGGUGGUGCAUGGUUGUCGUCAGCUCGUGUCGUGAGAUGUUGGGUUAAGUCCCGCAACGAGCGCAACCCUCGUUCUAUGUUGCCAGCACGUGAUGGUGGGGACUCAUAGGAGACUGCCGGGGUCAACUCGGAGGAAGGUGGGGACGACGUCAAAUCAUCAUGCCCCUUAUGUCUUGGGCUUCACGCAUGCUACAAUGGCCGGUACAAAGGGUUGCGAUACUGUGAGGUGGAGCUAAUCCCAAAAAGCCGGUCUCAGUUCGGAUUGGGGUCUGCAACUCGACCCCAUGAAGUCGGAGUCGCUAGUAAUCGCAGAUCAGCAACGCUGCGGUGAAUACGUUCCCGGGCCUUGUACACACCGCCCGUCAAGUCACGAAAGUUGGUAACACCCGAAGCCGGU
Molecule: ribosomal RNA, 1330 nt
Filed under: Pseudarthrobacter niigatensis
Lineage: Bacteria; Bacillati; Actinomycetota; Actinomycetes; Micrococcales; Micrococcaceae
Description: bacterial SSU rRNA
Rfam family: Bacterial small subunit ribosomal RNA
Source: RNAcentral